Molecule: ribosomal RNA, 492 nt
Filed under: uncultured bacterium
Lineage: Bacteria
Description: partial 16S ribosomal RNA
Rfam family: Bacterial small subunit ribosomal RNA
Source: RNAcentral
AGUGAACGCUGGCGGUAGGCCUAACACAUGCAAGUCGAACGGCAGCACAGUAAGAGCUUGCUCUUACGGGUGGCGAGUGGCGGACGGGUGAGGAAUACAUCGGAAUCUACUUUUUCGUGGGGGAUAACGUAGGGAAACUUACGCUAAUACCGCAUACGACCUACGGGUGAAAGCAGGGGAUCUUCGGACCUUGCGCGAUUGAAUGAGCCGAUGUCGGAUUAGCUAGUUGGCGGGGUAAAGGCCCACCAAGGCGACGAUCCGUAGCUGGUCUGAGAGGAUGAUCAGCCACACUGGAACUGAGACACGGUCCAGACUCCUACGGGAGGCAGCAGUGGGGAAUAUUGGACAAUGGGCGCAAGCCUGAUCCAGCCAUACCGCGUGGGUGAAGAAGGCCUUCGGGUUGUAAAGCCCUUUUGUCGGGAAAGAAAAGCAGCAGGUUAAUACCCCGCUGUUCUGACGGUACCCAAAGAAUAAGCACUGGCUAACUUCGUG